Molecule: transfer RNA, 62 nt
Filed under: Neotermes koshunensis
Lineage: Eukaryota; Metazoa; Arthropoda; Insecta; Blattodea; Kalotermitidae
Description: tRNA-Ala
Source: RNAcentral
GGGGCUGUAGUUAAUCAUAACAUUUGGUUUGCAAUCAGAAAGUACUACAUAGGUCUGCCUUA